Molecule: transfer RNA, 63 nt
Filed under: Xya japonica
Lineage: Eukaryota; Metazoa; Arthropoda; Insecta; Orthoptera; Tridactylidae
Description: tRNA-Pro
Source: RNAcentral
CAAAGAAUAGUUUAAUAAAAUAUUAGUUUUGGAGACUAAAGAUGGGCAGUUUCUCUUCUUUGU